Molecule: long non-coding RNA, 6325 nt
Organism: Alexandromys fortis (reed vole)
Lineage: Eukaryota; Metazoa; Chordata; Mammalia; Rodentia; Cricetidae
Exons: 8
Source: RefSeq, a predicted model, not a curated record
GUAGGUGUGGGAGGUACAGGUUGUUCCAGCUAGUUCCAUCGCCCCCCUUUCCACCCUUGCACAUUCUUCUCUUUCCCAUAAAGAUCAGUUCUGUAUUGACAGUUUCUGUCUGCACCCAAACAGGCAGGGAAAAAAAAAGUCCCAUCAGGGGUCGGCAGCAGCUAUGCUAACAUAUUUCCAAGAACUCGGGCUGCCCAGUCGGCUCCCACCUCAGAGGCACUUAGCGCCUACUUGAAAUCAAAGAUGGCUUGAGGAGGACACAGAGCCAGUCCAGGCACACGCACGACCUGGCACCCACACCCUGCCAGCCACCGAGGACAGAGCGAGUGAUGACCACCCCUGCCACGAGUGGCUCUUAGCCAGCCAACAAACAUCCAGAUGCCGUCCAUGUGUGUUCAGUUAUGUUUGCCGAGCUGCCGCUAUUGAACAAUCGCUUGCGUAGUGUUUAACGUGCGGCAGGAACCGGUCCAAGGACUUCAUAGAGAUAAGCUCAACGCAUCCCCCACGAACCUUCAAGAAACCAAUUCUCCUGCUGUGGAGACUGAGGCAGAGGACUGGGAACUCACCUGAGAUCCCACCACAGGUGGAGCAGCAAAGCCAGAGAGCAGGACCCAGGUAGCCGGCCCCACAGCUCAUGCUCACACCCCAGGCGGCAUGCCCAUCACUUUCGUUAAUCUGCUCAGCAUUUCCUGAGUUCUUUCUGAAUUCGAGGCAUUUUGCAAGGGGCCGUGGAUGCAGAGAGUAACUCUUACCAUUCCAAACCUUGAGAACAGAACAGGGAAGGGCCUCGCUUGCCUCUGCCUUGGGCACAGGGUGUGAUAUGUUAGCAGGGUCAAGAUUCUGUUUGGUAAGUGACUGAAAGUGGUGGCAUUGGAAAAGGUUGCUGAGUUUGGAGCCUGAGAACUUGGAUCUCUGCUGCUGGAAAGGAAAAUGUUUGGACAUGCUCAUCUGCAUUCAGGACAUGGAUACCCUGACAGUGUCAUUUUUAUGGGCCAAGCAACUGAAGUCCAGAGGGAUGCAGUAACUUACCUGAGGUCACACAGCUCCACGAGCAUCAUAAACAAUACCAGGAGGAACAAACUCUGUCACCAGCUGUGCUGUCUCCCACUGUCUGCUGAGAAGCAAUGGGAAGACUCACAAAGCUAUAGUGAGAGACGGUGAUGGUGACAGUGAUGACCAUAACGACAACCACAGUGGUGUUGACAGAGUCUGCGAGGGUGCUGAUGAUGGUACAUCCAAAGGAGAGGAAGUCAGGCGUGACCCUCCCGUGUUCCCCGUACCUCUAGCCACAGUAACCCAGAUCCAGACUCAACCUAGGGAAUGACUGGAUAGAGAAAAUGGAGUAUCGUUAUAACCAUUGUGCUGGUUAACACUGAUAUCAACUGGACGGGAUCCCCUGGAAUUCAGGACUGAAUCAAAAGGAUAGAAUGGACUGAGCAUCUGUCCCUCUGAUUGUGGAUGCGACGUGAUCUGCUGCCUGGUGAACUGUGCCAUCAAGUCGUGAGCCAGAGCAAACUCUUCCUUCUCAUGCCGAUUUUGCCACAGCAAUAGGAAAAGGAGCAAAUACACGCCCAACGGAAUGUUAUUCAGCCAUAAAAAAGAAUGAGAUUCCCGCCAUACGAGGCGGCGUGGAGGAGCCUGGCAGAUGCUAUGAAGUGAAAUAAGCCAGGCACGGAAGAAUAAAGACCAGCGCUGGCUCAUUCCCGUGUGAAAGCUGAAGUUGCUCUCACGGAAUCAGGGAGUGGAGUGUGGUCAGCAGGCCAGGAAGGGGGCGGGGCGAGGAGAAUCAGGGAGACGGGCUGGUGAACAGGUUCAGAAAUAGCUGGGAGGAUUGCUUUCUAGCUAGCUAUAGCACAGCUGGGCGACCACUGCCCACCACCCACGGGAGUUCACACUAGCUAGAAGACUUUGAAAACUCCCGACACAAGGGAUAGAGGGUAGCAACAAUGGGCAUACCCGUUUCCUGGUGCGCCCACAGGUGUACCAACUAAUCCUGACAGCCUACGUGAAUAUGCACAGGUAGAAGUGUCAAUCAAAAAAACAUAUAAGGACCCGAAGAAAAAAUAUGUAAAUUCGCGUUUAAAACACAAAGUGUGAUGGAAGGGACAGAGGAAAGCACUGGUCUCAGAGCCGACUUCUUGCUCUGUGAGAGGUCACAGCCUCCUUCUGAGUGUCUAAGGAGGGUGGACACUGGUGCCUGCCUGCCUACCAGCCUGAAGGCUUAAAAGUCUGUGACUUUCCUGUCUUCUUAUCGGGGACAUCCUGCCGUCACCUCUCCGGGUCUCUGUGGGAUGAAAUCAUGACCGUCUCUCCAGCACGGGAGGCACUGUUUCUUGCAUUUCUGGUCUGCAUAAUCGACGCAUUGCAUUGUGUAAAGACUGUUCUUGAUUGUCAAUUUGACUACAUCUGGGACUAACUAAAACCCCAAAACGGAGGGCACACCUGUGAGAGAUUUCUGCUUAAUUUCAAAUGGGAAGAUCUACGAAUCCAUAUCUUUAAGCUGGUACUGGCUCCAUAUGGCUCCUGUGGGUUCGUCCAGCAGUGUCCAGAAGUCGUCCAGGUUCUAUUUCAGAACCUCUGAAUCAGACAUCAUCAGGCGCGAGGACCCACUGGGCAAGCUCGGCAAGAACUGUGGGUAGACAGCGCCACCCAAUGGUCACUGCAGCAGCGAGCGGUGCAUUGACUUCUCAGUGGUCACUGGUGCCUGACACACGACGGAAAGUGACCAGAGCAAGAGUAGAAACCUGGGAUCUGACCUGCAGAUGUUUGACAGAUCUUUUUAAAUGGAUGGGUUGAUGGGCAACAGAUUUUUGGCGUCAGCUCUCUUCUUCCACCAUGGGACCCGGGGAUCAAAUCCAGGCCAGCGAGCUUACCCAGCAAGCACUUUUACCUGCUGAGCCAUCUCUCCAGCCCCGAACUUCUAAUAACCGGGCCAGCUUCAGACAUGUGAGGUCACAGACACCGCUGAAAUGAAAGAGGAGCCCCCGAGACCUGCCCUCUCUCAUUGGCCAUGGGAUGGCACAGCAGCUGGCACACAGCAGGAGCUCCAUUAUUAGUGUUAGCGGAAUGAAUGUACAGUUGGCGGGAAGAUGACCGGCAGAAGGGGUCGUGUAGAUCGGGUGAUUACAAGGCAUGAGCUGGACAGAGAACUGUAUAAGGUGGAAAGGCGUGAUAUACUUCAGAGAGAUGCGUUCCUCAUCUCGAGCAUGUGCUCUGCUCCAGACACUGCCCCUGGUGUGCAGAUAGCACGGAGAACAGAGGAGACAAGGUCCCUGCUCUCAAGGGACUGGUGUUUCCUCAUGGGGAAGCGGAUCAUAAAUAGAUAUAAUCACACAGUGUGACAUAAGAGGUGCUGGGAAGAAAAACAAAGUGGGCCAGGGAAGAUGGCUCAGCUGGUGUCGGAGCAUGAGGAUCUGAGUUUGGAUCUCCACAGCCCAUGUAAAAAGACGGCUGUGGUGCGUGCUUGCUAUCCUAGUGCUGGAAGUGGGGGGACAGGAAGAGCCCUGGUGCUUACUGGCCAGACAGUCUAGACCAACUGGCAAGUUUCAGGUUCAGCAAGAGACCCUGUUUAAAAAAAUAAAGUGGAGAGAAAUUGAGAAAGACACCCAGUGCUGACUUCUGACCUACACACACACACACACACACACACACACACACACACACACGGGAGGCGGGGGGAGAAGAAAGGAAAGGAGAGGAAAGGAUAACAAAACGGGCUAAAUGGAUGGUGGGGCCAUGGAGAUGCUAUUACAGAUAGUUAAAAGCCUCUAAGAAAAUAGUAUUCCAGCCUGGUGUGGUGGUACCUACCCAUAAUCCAAGGAGUUGGGAGGCUGAGGUUAGGGCAUUCAGAGUCCUAGCCCUGCCAGGGAGACAAAGUGAGAUCCUAGCUUAGAAAAAAAAAAGAUAACACUGGGGCUGGGGGUGUAGCUCAAUGGUGGAGCACUUGUCUGGCAUGAGCGAGGCCCUGGGCUCAAGCCCUGACACCCCAAAAUAAAAAAUGAUGGCAUUUGAGCAGAGACAUAAAGGAAGCCAUGCGGAUAUCUGAGGCAGGAGAUUUCCUCCCCAUUCGAACAGUUGAAAGGAGUGCGAAGGCAUUUCAUCCGGUACCCGGGCCUCAAUUUCAAUCGACUGAAACAAAAUAAAGGCUCUUUGAGGUGCAGACCUGAAAGCGGACCAGAAAUACACUCCACAUGAAAGGCAAACCUUUGCUUAAUCUGUUUUCACUGCUAUUGAAAUCUUAAGUGCCUCCUUUAUGGCAGAUGGCUCAAAACCUGCCGGGGGAAGAAAUGCUUCAGAAAUACAACUCCAAAUGAAAAACAAAACAACACGGAAGACAGCCGUGAUAAUGGCCUCGCGUGAAAUGACUGGAAGUUGUGAGCGCUCCGCUUGAUGAGAUUAAACAGUUGGAGGCAAAUGAUGCAGAGCCCUGUGGAGGAAAAUAUUCAGAUAAAUCAUUGCAAGAUCCCUAGUGGAAGCACAACCCACUUGGAGAUGUUCUUUUUGGGGAAACAGUCUGCUCAUUCCGGAAACAUUAGCUGGGCACAGUAGUGAAUGCCUGUGGUAAGAGCACCUGCGAUGCUGAGGCAGGAGGAUGAUGAGUUUCAGGUCAGUCUGGACUCUGUGGCAAGGCACUCUCUCAGAAAAGGAGCUAUCAUUGAGCAGCCAAGUGUCUGCAAUGUUCGUGUUUGCUGACUUGGAAAAUGAACUAGGGGAUGAGGGUGAGGCUCAGUCAGCAGAGAGCAGCCUAGCAUCAGUGCACCCCCGUUCCAUCCUCAGCACUGGGCGUGGUAGUGUGUGCCUGCACUUGCAGUGCUGGGGAGGUCAGAGCUAAGGGAAUCAGAAGUUCGAGGUCAUCCUCUGCUACACAGUGGGUUGGGGCUCUGUCUGUGCAUGUAGCCUGGACUACCUGAGAUCCUAGCUCAAAAAGAUGAAAAAAGGAAAGAGGACUGGAACUCAUAUCUCCUCUUACGAGGUUUCAGUCUGGUCCCAGGCUUAUCCUUUGAUUUGGUAUUUUAUUCUUUAAUCUCAUCCUUUACUGUUCAUCUUUUAUUUCCAGACCCAUCCCUCUUAUCCCAUAGGCAUGAUCCUCAGGCUCUCUGUCAUUCUGUCUGUGCUUACAGAUGCAUUUACAUUUUAACCACACAUAGCCACCUAGCCAAACAACUUAACUAUUGCCUCAUGUGUGCUUAGCGAACACAUCUGACACUUGGCUGUAUCAGCCGCUCUCUGUCUUUGAGGCACAUUGAUGUUGACUGGUACGGAUCCAGUCCUUUAGACAGUGACACUGAGUUCUUCAGUCACGCACAUUAUGUUUUAUUGACUAAUUCUCUGCUGAAGAACAUAGACGCUGCAUCCAAGUGUGCUAUAGAACUGCUGGGACUUACUUCUGUGAGUUCAGGCCAGACGUUUCCCUGGGUUGGAACACAGCUGUGAUCUGUGAUCUAAAGUGGUCUGUGCCACUAGGCAGCCUGUCACGACAGCUUUCCAAACGGACUGGACCAGUUCUCGCCCUGCACAGCAGGGCCUUGUUUCAGUUGGUUUUCUCCUGGUGACGGGAACAGCUUGGUCAAGGAAAGGUUUGUUUAGGUUCAUGGUUUCGGAGGGAUUGCUGCUUGUCUCAGUAGGGCAGCCACAACAGCAGAUGUGGUUUGUUCUGUGGCGACAGGAGCAUAGUGUGGAUCAGGAAGCUGAGAAUGGGCUGCACAGCAAGGCCAGUGUCUCAGUUAGGGUCACUGUUGCUGUGACCAAACACCACAAGCAAAAGUACCUUUAAAGGGGAAGGGUUGACUUGGCUUACUCUUCCACACCACUGUUCGUCAUCAAAGGGAGUUAAAAAGGAAUACAAGCAGGACAGGAACCUGCCUCCAGGUUGAUGCAGAGACCAUGGAGGAGCUCUGCUUACUGACUUGCUCUCCAGGGAGGCUGAUUUCUUAUAGAGCCCAAGACCACCAGCCAAGGAGUGGCCUGUCCCACAAUGGGACUGGGCCCUCCACCAUCCAUCGUUAAUUAAGAAAAUGGCCUAACGGCUUGCCUGCAGGAUAAUAUUAAAAAGGCAUUCUUCUCAAUUAAAAUUCCCUCUUCUCAGAUGACGAUAGCUUGUGUCAAGCUGACAUAAAACUAGCCAGCACAGCCAGUCUAUGACCCUUAAAGGCCCAUCUCCAGUGCCACCUCCACCAGCCAGACCCUACCUCCUAAAGGUCCCACAGCCUCCCAAAACAGUGCCACUAGCUUGUGUUCUUACAUAUGGCAGGAGGGAGGGCUUUCACACUCACAUUGAAAACUCUACCCCAGUGCACAGUCACUGCACAAUGCAAAAUGCAUUCUG